GCUCAGUGUCUGCUGGGAAGACUGUGGGGUAAAAACAAUAAAGGAAAAGUGCUUCUGGGGUGUGAGAGGAAGGAAAACUCCUACUGUGUUUCCUCCCGGCCUCUGAGGAUAUCCCAAUAUAUCAAUACAGAUAGUGCCCACAUCAAUAUUCUUCUGUAAAAAGUUGGAGUGCCACAUCUACCCAGGUUUUAUCCAUGGGCUUAAUCUGGGCUUGGUUGGCUGGGCAGUGGCACUGCUCUUCUUAGAGAAGGAGGCGCACAUAUCCUUUGCAGGUUCAGAGCCAAAGCUGAUGGGUCUGUAAUUGCAUCACUUCCUUGCACAGUUGAAUUUACCACUUGGCAAAAUGGCCUGAGAUGAUGUAAGCUGCUUUGUUAAUAAGACAUAACCCUCCCUUUUCUCUCAUACCCUCUUGAAUUCUGCUCCAGGGAUGAAUGAGUUCAUCCUAGAUAAUCUCAGCAAUGAGAUCUGGUUGCUUAACUCUUCUUGGAAAGACAGCAUGGAGGCCUGAGAGUGGUAACAAAUCCAGAUGUGACACUUCUCUGUGUAUUUUGCUGAAUUAUGUGGAACAAGCUGAAGACAAACACAGGAGACUGUACCCAGUUAAAGUGUAUGCCGUGGUAUCCCGCUGGUCAGAUGAGCAGCACUGAGGGAUGCAAGGGCAGGUGAAGGACCAGGCUGGAGUGCACAGGGGACAGGAUGAAGUUACAGAUACUUACCUGAAGCUGCACGGGAAGGAGUCAAUGAGAGCUGUGGCAGAAACAGGAAGGCUGACAUGCGAAGUCAAAUGCAGAGUUGCUAUGCAUCUGAAAUUCGUUUGCAUACACUUGGAAGACAACAGAUUAUGCUGGAAAAUACUUCCUGCACUUCCACUUCAGUGCUGUUGCUCUGGGAUGGCAGGAUGGUGUUUCAAACAAAAGGUGCUGGCCAAAGUCCUGUGCUGAAAAGAGUGCAAUAUCCUUGAUGAAAUGGUAAGCCUGUUGGUAUAUGUGAUAUGUGGCAAGGGAAUCACAGAUAAUAUGUGAAUGUGUAUUACUACU
This 1037-nucleotide long non-coding RNA is filed under the name Anser brachyrhynchus (Pink-footed goose). RNAcentral describes it as "lncRNA (ENSABRG00000012200.1)". The record is from RNAcentral. Lineage: Eukaryota; Metazoa; Chordata; Aves; Anseriformes; Anatidae.